AAAAAAAGAAACUGUGGGUUCCUGUACCAACGUUUGACUGUCCGUCUUAUAUAAAUUUUUUUAUAAUUAUUAUUUUCAUUGUUGUUAGAUGAUAAAACAUGAUUAAUACUUUAUGCGUGACUUAUCUUUUUAAUUUUUUUCAUAUAUUUUUUAAAAUAAGACGGACGGUCAAAAGUUGGACACGGAAAUCAGGGUUUGUCUUUUU
MicroRNA precursor from Oryza sativa Indica Group (long-grained rice), 205 nucleotides. It matches the Rfam family "MIR812 microRNA precursor family". The record is from Rfam. Lineage: Eukaryota; Viridiplantae; Streptophyta; Magnoliopsida; Poales; Poaceae.